CUGGAACCAAGGGGGCAAAGCAAGCAUACAAUUCAAGAUUUCAUUACUGCUGUCGCACAAGUACAAUGUACGAAGGUGCAUAGUUGAGUGCAAAUUACAUCGUGUUGUUGGACUAAAACUGGUAAAGGAAUGAACCACAAAAAUUUAAGGUGUCAUAUAGCUGAUACGAGAAGCUUAUAGCAUCAUCAACUUCGGGUUGCCAGCCUUCUGUCCGCCAGCGCCGCCGAAGCUCUGACAUAUCUGUAAAAUGCACGCAAAACUUGAAAAAUCAGAAGGGAGAGCACGCGACGACUAUUUAUUCACAUGAACUUAUGCAUCUGGAUAUUUGACCAACUAUGGAUGAUGCUUACCGGAGGAGGAAGGGGCGUGGGAGCAGAGGAAGAGGAGGAGGAAGCAGAGGAAGAGGAGGAGGAAGCAGAGGAAGGUGAGCAGCGGGAUGAGGUGGAUGGACCUGCGACGGCGUGGAACUGGACACCAACCUUCCUCUGCUCAUCCAGUCCCACGGCAACAUGGGGCGGUGACGGGCGUCAACGACAUCCAGGGGGAGGAAGACGUCGCGGCUCACGCCGUGGACGAUGCCCACGACGAAGCCCGUGUCAUCACCGUGGGGUCGACAAGGCGGGCAAGGACGGACAAGUGGGAGACGGAGGGCGUCCUGUCGAAGUCGACGACCGUGUGCGCGCGCCGCGACGGCGGCCCUGACGCGUCGAGCGUCGCGUGGCUGCUCGCCAUAGCCUAGGGAGUCACUAUACCGGACCAGUAAAAAAACCACCCAUCGAGUCAUGCAACAAUAAGCAAUCCAGCGAUGUAACAAUACACCAGGGAGGACGCGGCAUGCGUGAACGAGCUCUCAGGGUUCCGCUCUUGGAGAGUGUAAUGUUCACCUUUGUUUCUAAAACCAUGUUGUAUGCAUGUGUGUUUGAGCUGCCCUUAACAAACAACGAGGAGGAUAUACUAAGGCUAGCCAUAGUGAGGAGUAUCAUACAAUAAUAUCAUGAUACUAUUGUAUGAUACUACCUUCAUAAUGCAUAGUAUAUUAUAAAAAAAAAUAUUAUAAAUGAACUCAUUUAUUGACAUGCAUGACACGUAGUGGCAUGUAUUUAAAAUGUUACGGUAUCUACCUAUGUUACUCUAACCCUUUUUUUUUAAUUGUCAUGAACCUAUGCCUAUGCACUAGACAAGAGGUCCAUUGUGCAACAACAUGACAGGUGCCGUCCAUGAUGCUCUGGGUGGCUGUGCGCCACGACGCCUGAGGCUGCACAACAACGCUCUGGUCGCCCGCAUGAAUACCGGCCAUGGACCGAUAUCGCCUCUGCACGCCGCUGCAGGUCCGUGUUGAACGAGCUAGGGUUCUUGUUCCUCCUUCGCUUCCUCCUGAUUCGACUACACGGGCAUUGGACCGGCGCCGUGCCAUUGUUAACCUCGGCGCUUCCGCCACUUACCAGAGGUUGGCGUGGGGGAAGAGAGUGGCUCCGAUACAAUUGAUUGAGGAGGAUGUGUGUAUAUAAGGGGACCGAAGUUAUUGUUGACCUCAGUUUCAUUGAAGGACGCACUGUGCGGACCGAUGUCGCGGCCGGUCAGUUUAGGAAAGUGCGCAUGUGCAGGCGGACCCCCUUGCAAAAAAAAUACUCCUUCAGUCAUAAUUUAUAAAGCAUGUACUAGGUCGUCAAUUUAACCAACUUAAUAAGAGACAUAUAUUACAAAAAAUAUAUCAUUAGAAACUUUAGAUGUUCUAUAAUAAUCUAAUUUUUAUGUUAAACAAUAUAUUUUAUAUAAGUUAAAUUGACGACCUAGAUACACGUACAUGCCUUAUAAACUGUGACGGUGGCAACGUCCAUCCAAAAGAAACGAGAAGGGAAAAAGAGGCAGCGACCCCUACUCAUGUGGUCACCCCCCAACGCAAAUACACGCGACAGCUACUACCAGAUAGUGGGGACCUUCCCUCCGGCAAAAAAAGCACAGCAAAAAAAUGGUGGAAAUCAAGCCAAAAAUUCUAAAGAAUGCGAUUUUGUCUGCAACUCUUUGUUCCUGAUCAGGCAAUACUCUGAAGAAACUUGGGCAAAAUAUUGCCAGAACUGGGCAAAUUUCUCCCCAUGAAAACAACAAAGGUAAAAGGGCCCUUACAAUUUUCUUGAAUAUUCUUUUAGUUCUAGAGCUAGUGGAACUCCCUCUCUGUACCUCCCCAUGCAAUAUACUACAAAAUUGCUUCCUGUACCAAGUGUUGCAAAACCUGAAUUGAAUCUUACCCCCAAUCUGCCAGUUGUUCUUGCCUCCCCCUCCCCGUGUAGAACUGGAAGCUAGAUAUCUUGCAUGUUGUCUUCCACCUUGCUUCUGCAACAAAAAGAAAAGGAAGCAUAGUUAUUUGGUUGUGUAGCACUGUCUAUAUUCUGGGUAUAAUAAAUCUGGACAAAUGACUAGUGUAGUUGCUUACAAAACUAGUUUAUUCAGUGGGGGGGUGAAGCAAAGACUGGUUACUUACAAAACUAAAAGGAGAUGAACCUAAUUGUAUAAAAUAGAGAUGAAGCAAAAUCUAACUGCUGACAAUGUCUAUCUAGUUGAUUACAAAAACAAAAAGCAAGAAAAGUCUGAACCUAGUAGUGAAAAAAUAUGCCGGCAUCCUAUAAAAGUCUGCCAUUACACUGAGUUUGGUGUGUUGGGAACAUAGUGGUGAUUGCAAAAAAAAUGCCCAUGCUCAUUGAGUUCGCUAACAUGAUAGAAGAAGAAAAUUCUAAUGUUUAAUUUACAUUAUGUCGCUUACGUAUUAAUUACAUCCCUAAUUUUUUUUCUAAUAUGUGCAGAUGGCUGGCCUUGAUCUCAAUAAGUUCCCUGAUGACUGUGUUGAUUGUGAUGGUGGCAUUAUACUGCACGCAAGCUGAAUUUGAAAGGGUCCCUAUUUCUAUUGAGGGGUGAGCGAGUCACCAGAACUGGGAACUGUUGUUGUCCAAGAUGUCCUAGGUGUGAAUUUUCGUGUUGCGUUAGCUUCUGCUACUGGUGUGUAUGAUGCUACGACAACUAAAACUACCAUGCCCGUCCCUGCUGCAUUGAGCCCGACUGCAACUCUGCCUAGCCAUGGUGAGCAAGGUCAUGUCGGUGCCGCUGACUUGUUUAGUUUUGAUGAGAAUGAGGUGCAAUCUAGCCACAUGAGCCGUAUGUGGACAUGGAGUUUGACACGCCUGUGGGUGCUAAGACGCAUUACAAUGCCUGCACUCUCUGUUGUGGGUUUGGGAUAAAAGCCAACAUGUCCAGGAGGUCUCCAUAUAGUUAUAUGGUUGAAAAACUGACUUUUGCGUGCAACAAGUCGGGGAAGCCUGAAUACAAUGAUUAUGUCUACACUCCUAUGCUUCACAAACUAUGUUCCGAUUCUGAGGAUUGUGGCGACGGGUAAGAUCUCGGCCUAGGCGAUUUGGAAGAGUGUAUUGUUUUAGGCGACUAGGUCGAUGGAUUCGGCGAUCUAGCGCACCGGGGAUGGGGAAGUUUGUUAGUCAGCUUAGGCAAUUUGGAAGAGUGUGUUAUUUUAGGCAACUUGGACGAUGGGCUAGGCGACCUAGCACACCGAGGAUGGGCGAGUUUGUUGGUCGGCUUAGGCAAUUUGGAAGGGUAUGGUGUUUUAGGAAAAUAGGUCGAUGGGUUAGGCGAGCUAGAACGCCAGAGAUGGCCGAGUUGGUUAGCCGACUUAGCCAAUUUUGGAAGGGUUUGUUGUUUUCGGCAACAUGGAUGAUGGGUUAGGCAACCUAGCACACGGGGGAUGGGCGAGUUUGUUGGUCGGCUUAGGCAAUUUGGAAGGGUAUGGUGUUUUAGGAAAAUAGGUCGAUGGGUUAGGCGAGCUAGUACACCAGGGAUGGCCGAGUUGGUUGGCCGACUUAGCCAAUUUUGGAAGGGUUUGUUGUAUUAGGCAACAUGGAUGAUGGGUUAGGCGGCCUAGCACACGGGGGACGGGCGAGUUUGUUGGUCGGCUUAGGCAAAUUGGAAGGGUGUGUUGUUUUGGGUGAGGCAAUGUGUUAGGCGACCUAGCACGUCGGGGAUGGACGAGUUGGUUGGUCAGCUUAGGUGAAUUGGAAGGGUGUGUUGUUUUAGGCGACUUGGGCAAUGUGUUAGACGACCUAGCAUACCGGGGAUGGACGAGUUGGUUGGUCGGCAUAGGCGAUUGGAAGGGUACGAUGUUUUAGGCGACUAGGUCGAUGGGUUAGGCAAGCUAGUACGCGAGGGAUGAGCGAGUUUGUUGGUCGUCUUAGGUUAUUUUGAAAGGGUUUGUUGUUUUAGGUGACAUGGAUAUGGGUUAGGUGACCUAGCACAUGGGGGAUGGGCCAAUUUAUUUGGUCGGCUUAGACGAAUUGGAAGGGUGUGUUGUUUUAGGCGACUUGGGAAAUGGGUUAGGUGACCUAGCACACCGGGGAUGGACGAGUUGAUUGGUCGGCUUAGGUGAAUUGAAAGGGUGUGUUGUUUUAGGCGACUUGGCCAAUGUAUUAGACGACCUAGCAUACCAGGGAUGGACGAGUUGUUUGGUCGGCUUAGGCGAUUGGAAGGGUACGAUGUUUUAGGCGACCAGGUCAAUGGGUUAGGCGAGCUAGUAUGCCAGGGAUGAGCGAGUUUGUUGGUCGUCUUAGGCGAUUUUGAAAGGGUUUGUUGUUUUAGGUGACAUGGAGAUGGGUUAGGUGACCUAGCACACGGUGGAUGGGGAGUUUGUUUGGUCGGAUUAGCCGAAUUGGAAGGGUGUGUUGUUUUAGGUGACUUGGGCAAUGGGUUCGGUGACCUAGCACACCGGGGAUGGAUUAGUUGGUUGGUCGGCUUAGGCGAUUGGAAGGGUAUGAUGUUUUAGGCAACUAGGUCGAUGGGUUAGCCGAGCUAGUACGUCAGGGAUGGGGGAGUUGGUUAGUCGGCUUAGGCUAUUUGGAAGGGUGUGUUGUUUUAGGCGACAUGGUUUAGGCGUGUAUUAGGUAUCUCCGUCUGUGGAUUAGGCGUGUGAGCGACUUAGUGAUUGGAUUUGAUCGAGUUGGGCGUGGGAUGCAAUGACUAUAUAGUGGAGUGGUAAGUGACUCCACUCGUUUGGUGGUCGUGGGCGACUUAGUUCGGUCGGCUCGGUUUGUGGAUGAGCAGGGCGACUAUGAGUUGGGAUUGAGACCACUCCGUUCUGGAUUAGGUGUAUGGGCGACUUAGUGUAUUGGAUUUGGUGAUGCGAUGACUAUGAAAUGUGAUGGUAGGCGACUUGUGAGUUCGGUGGUCGUGGGUGUUUUAGUUUAACGCGGUCGGCUGUGUAUGUGUGAAAGGGCGAGCGAAUAUGAAUUAAGGUUUAGGUGACUCCAUAUGUGUAUUAGUUGUUUGAGUAACUUAGUGUAUGGAUUUGGUCGAGUUGGGCAUGGGUGCGGCGACUAUAUAAUGGGGUAGUAGGCGACUCCAUUCGUGUCAUACAUUAAAGUUUCCCGUGUGCAUAUGCAGGUUAUAUCAAAGGUAACAUUGAAGUUUCUCAUGCCAUACAUAAACUAGCAAACUGGAACCAGAACAAAAAAUUUCCUCACGUGAACCAACAUUCAGUUUCUUUAUCUAAUGAUUUUGUGUAUAACUGCCUAACUGACGCGAGUUAAAAUGCAAGAGAAAAUGGUAAACUUGGCUAUCCCCGUAUGACGAAUAAAAUUGCCUAUCACAAUUCCAGUUGUAACGGGCUAGCUUCUUGCCGCCCGAUUCCAUUAAGCUGAGUCAAAAAGUUGUCUUACGUAUGUUUAGAUGUUUUGCAGAACAAAGAAGUUCAUAUAUAGAUUUUCAGUCUUACUGCCUAUGAAAACAAAGAAUAAAUUGUCGGUUUAGGCAACUUAACUAGUAGGUUAGGCGAUUUAAGACUCCCUCCGGUGUUUGGAUGAUGCAAAGCUGCUAAAAUGUUCAGUAUUGCCAUUAUAGUCAUACCGAACUUAUCUACAGUUGCCUAUCUACCAGCAGUGUUGCACUGCCUAUUGUAGUCGUGCUAAAACCUACCAAAAACUGCCUACAGCAAAAUUAGAAACAGCUAGAUUCGAGCAGCAUCAAGCCAUUCAAACACUGGCAUGUGAUAAAAAUUCAAAAUUCGAACAAAAUUUCCGCUAACUUCUAACUACUAGUAUAACAUCCAAAGGCGCUAACUGCUAUGUCCAGUGUUCUAUUGCCGAUUAUAAUCUUAUACUGAAGCUAUCUAAAUUGCCUACAAAAAUAUUCAAUGUUGCCUAUUGUAAUCGUACAUCAAGCCAUUAAAGGGAGAACCAUACCUUACACCCACGCCUGUCGUUCAUGAGAUUCUCAGUGAAAAAUUGAUGUGUGUCAUAUGGGAUUUCCCCCCUCCCCCGUCGAGGGGUCGCGCCUAUGAUAUCUAAACUGUAGAUUUCCCCCUCCCGAGUAAGGCGACCCAACCUCCCCUCCAUGGAUGGCUACAAAGCUUGAAAAAAGGGAAGAAAAAUCCCCUGCCCUCAUUCCGCUUGACUAAUUAGAGAAGGUAGAGUGCAGGAACUAACCUUCUCUCGCGGAUGUAGCAGUGCGCUCCGCCGUCGUUCGUCGCCUCGCGUCAAUGGCGGCACAGGCCUCUUCCUCCCUCUUUUCUCAUCAUGCGCGAACCGCUCGAAUCAGCUGCUGAUGUCCCCUCAGCGUGGUGGUUGAUAUGCCCGUACGAGCCUCUGUCCCAAUAGCCGCAGUCGUCAGAUCUUCUGGCCGGCGAACCCUUCUCUUCCUGUAGCAGUGCGGAUAGAAUGGAGGGGCAAGUGGAGACCGUCUCCCUGGCCGGGUCCACCUAACACGUUUCGUUCAUCUCGGCCGGGGCGAUGAACGGCUGGCGUGCGGCCGCUCGUGAGCAGUCUAUCGCGCGUACGCACCGUCCAGCGUUUGGG
Molecule: long non-coding RNA, 6842 nt
Filed under: Hordeum vulgare
Lineage: Eukaryota; Viridiplantae; Streptophyta; Magnoliopsida; Poales; Poaceae
Description: long non-coding RNA (HVUL_LNC009832)
Source: RNAcentral